UGAAUGGCGUCACUGGACUUAUCAGGAUGCUGUGACACCCCAGGAGUGCUACUCAGAAGAGCAGAAGGCCUACUUUUCCAGUCUGCCUGCCCAAGGAUUGGCCCUGUGUGGCUUGGCUCAGCCCUCAGAGAAGCCUCGCUCUCCAUACCCUGACUUUCCCUUCACCACACUCACCCCCAAGAAGCCUCAAAAGCUCAGCAGAGCCCACGGCCUCUCCACCUGGAUCCCCUGUCCCUUGAUACCUUUCUU
RNAcentral lists this long non-coding RNA (249 nucleotides) under Homo sapiens (human). RNAcentral describes it as "non-protein coding lnc-SPATA16-3:1". Lineage: Eukaryota; Metazoa; Chordata; Mammalia; Primates; Hominidae. The record is from RNAcentral.